RNAcentral lists this ribosomal RNA (800 nucleotides) under uncultured bacterium. RNAcentral's name for it is "bacterial SSU rRNA". It matches the Rfam family "Bacterial small subunit ribosomal RNA", at positions 45 to 873 of the family's 1533-position model. The record is from RNAcentral.
UGAUAACACAUGAAAGUGGAGUGAUGAGUGCUGGAUAAAUUGCUAGCGGCGGACGGGUGCGUAACACGUGGGUAACCUGCCCCUAUCACUGGGAUAACACACUGAAAAGUGUGCUAAUACCAGAUAACAUAAGCUUUUGGCAUCAUUAGCUUAUCAAAGAAUUUCGGAUAGGGAUGGGCCCGCGUCUGAUUAGCUAGUUGGUGAGGUAACGGCUCACCAAGGCAACGAUCAGUAGCCGACCUGAGAGGGUGAUCGGCCACACUGGAACUGAGACACGGUCCAGACUCCUACGGGAGGCAGCAGUGGGGAAUAUUGCACAAUGGGCGAAAGCCUGAUGCAGCAACGCCGCGUGAGCGAUGAAGGCCUUCGGGUCGUAAAGCUCUGUCCUAUGGGAAGAUAAUGACGGUACCAUAGGAGGAAGCCCCGGCUAACUACGUGCCAGCAGCCGCGGUAAUACGUAGGGGGCAAGCGUUAUCCGGAAUUACUGGGCGUAAAGGGUGCGUAGGCGGUUUAUCAAGUCAGGGGUGAAAGGCUACGGCUCAACCGUAGUGAGCCUCUGAAACUGGUGAACUUGAGUGUAGGAGAGGAAAGUGGAAUUCCCAGUGUAGCGGUGAAAUGCGUAGAUAUUGGGAGGAACACCAGUGGCGAAGGCGACUUUCUGGACUACAACUGACGCUGAGGCACGAAAGCGUGGGGAGCAAACAGGAUUAGAUACCCUGGUAGUCCACGCUGUAAACGAUGAGUACUAGGUGUCGGCUGUCAAAGGUCGGUGCCGGCGUUAACACAUUAAGUACUCCGCC